Molecule: ribosomal RNA, 515 nt
Filed under: uncultured archaeon
Lineage: Archaea
Description: bacterial SSU rRNA
Rfam family: Archaeal small subunit ribosomal RNA
Source: RNAcentral
AACCUUUACACUGCACGACAGCGCGAUAAGGGAAUCCCAAGUGCGUAGGCAUAGAGCCUACGCUUUUGUCCACCGUAGGGAGGUGGACGAAUAAGGGCUGGGCAAGACCGGUGCCAGCCGCCGCGGUAAUACCGGCAGCCCGAGUGAUGGCCGAUCUUAUUGGGCCUAAAGCGUCCGUAGCUGGCCGCGCAAGUCUAUCGGAAAAUCCACCCGCUCAACGGGUGGGCGUCCGGUAGAAACUGCGUGGCUUGGGACCGGAAGGCGCGACGGGUACGUCCGGGGUAGGAGUGAAAUCCCGUAAUCCUGGACGGACCGCCGAUGGCGAAAGCACGUCGCGAAGACGGAUCCGACAGUGAGGGACGAAAGCUAGGGUCUCGAACCGGAUUAGAUACCCGGGUAGUCCUAGCCGUAAACAAUGCCUGCUAGGUGUGGCUCCCACUACGAGUGGGUGCUGUGCCGUAGGGAAGCCGCUAAGCAGGCCGCCUGGGAAGUACGUCCGCAAGGAUGAAACUUAA